AACGAACGCUGGCGGCAUGCCUAACACAUGCAAGUCGAACGAGACCUUCGGGUCUAGUGGCGCACGGGUGCGUAACGCGUGGGAACCUGCCCUUAGGUUCGGAAUAACUCCCCGAAAGGGGUGCUAAUACCGGAUAAUGUCUUCGGACCAAAGAUUUAUCGCCUUUGGAUGGGCCCGCGUGGGAUUAGCUAGUUGGUAGGGUAAAAGCCUACCAAGGCGACGAUCCAUAGCUGGUCUGAGAGGAUGAUCAGCCACACUGGGACUGAGACACGGCCCAGACUCCUACGGGAGGCAGCAGUGGGGAAUAUUGGACAAUGGGCGAAAGCCUGAUCCAGCAAUGCCGCGUGAGUGAUGAAGGCCUUAGGGUUGUAAAGCUCUUUUACCCGGGAUGAUAAUGACAGUACCGGGAGAAUAAGCGCCGGCUAACUCCGUG
This 433-nucleotide ribosomal RNA is filed under the name uncultured bacterium. RNAcentral's name for it is "partial 16S ribosomal RNA". It matches the Rfam family "Bacterial small subunit ribosomal RNA", at positions 29 to 507 of the family's 1533-position model. The record is from RNAcentral.